Long non-coding RNA from Ipomoea nil (Japanese morning glory), 594 nucleotides. RefSeq lists it as uncharacterized. Lineage: Eukaryota; Viridiplantae; Streptophyta; Magnoliopsida; Solanales; Convolvulaceae. The record is from RefSeq and is a predicted model, not a curated record. The transcript has 2 exons.
UGUGACUCUAUAAGAACAUUGGAUCGAUCAUCAUAUAUAUAGCUUUAAUUUUUGAUUUGCCCUGUAAAAAAGAAAUUUAGGCUGCAUAUGUUCAUCACUGGUUCAUCUGCGUAAUGUCUUUGUAGCUUUAGUUUGAGGAGGUUUUAAUGUGUCAUCAAUCUUCACUGCAUGCAUAUGGAGUUUUACUUGAUUGAGAAUGGUUCCUUGAUACAUCAUCUCAUGCAUUUGAACUAGGGGACUUGCUUUCUCUGAUCUCUCUCAAACUCUUUCUCAGUUCUUGCUUCUUCAGCCCAAUCUCGUUUCUGAUGAAGUGAUUGCACUAUUACCAGAUUCUGAAAGUUCCUUCACUCCUUAAUCCUUAUAGCUAUAAGUGCCAAGGUCAAAGUAUGAUGCUUGUGAGUUGUGACUGAUUAAGCAGUAGUGCCACAGAUUGCAUGUGAAUUGUAUUAAAUGUAUGGUUCGGUGUUGUUUAUUCUGAUUAGUAUCAUAAACUUGUAUUGGUAUGAAACUACUAUUGGUGUUACAAUUGCUAUUUGCAAGUGGAUAAUUUGUAUUUUAAAUUAAAUUUACAAAGCAGUGAUUUUUUUUUUAUUU